This 851-nucleotide ribosomal RNA is filed under the name uncultured bacterium. Its description in RNAcentral is "bacterial SSU rRNA". It matches the Rfam family "Bacterial small subunit ribosomal RNA", at positions 56 to 896 of the family's 1533-position model. The record is from RNAcentral.
UGCAGUCGAGCGCUUAUUCUCUGGUAGCAAUAUUGGAGAGUGGGAGCGGCGCAAGGGUGCGUAACACGUGGAUCAUCUGCCUGGAAGUUCGGAAUAAUUCGGCGAAAGCCGGACUAAUGCCGGAUGUGGUUGGAAGACUAAAGUUGGGGACCGCAAGGCCUGACGCUUCCAGAUGAGUCCGCGGCCUAUCAGCUAGUUGGCGGGGUAACGGCCCACCAAGGCGAAGACGGGUAGCUGGUCUGAGAGGACGACCAGCCACACUGGAACUGAGACACGGUCCAGACACCUACGGGUGGCAGCAGUCGAGAAUUUUUCUCAAUGGGGGAAACCCUGAAGGAGCGACGCCGCGUGGGGGAUGAAGGGCUUCGGCCCGUAAACCCCUGUCAUUUGCGAACAAACCUUGUCUGUUAACAGUAGGCAAGUUGAUUGUAGUGAAAGAGGAAGGGACGGCUAACUCUGUGCCAGCAGCCGCGGUAAUACAGAGGUCCCGAGCGUUGUUCGGAUUCACUGGGCGUAAAGGGUGCGCAGGUGGGUUUGCAAGUUCGAUGUGAAAGCCCCGGGCUUAACCCGGGAAUGGCAUUGGAUACUGCAGAUCUGGAGGAUCGGAGGGGGGACUGGAAUUCUUGGUGUAGCAGUGAAAUGCGUAGAUAUCAAGAGGAACACCAGUGGCGAAGGCGAGUCCCUGGACGAUACCUGACACUGAGGCACGAAAGCUAGGGGAGCAAACAGGAUUAGAUACCCUGGUAGUCCUAGCUGUAAACGGUGCGCAUUUGCUGUAAACGGAAUCGACCCCGUUUGUGGCGAAGCUAACGCGAUAAAUGCGCCGCCUGGGAAGUACGGUCGCAAGAUUA